This 256-nucleotide long non-coding RNA is filed under the name Bos taurus (domestic cattle). Its description in RNAcentral is "long non-coding RNA NONBTAT005817". Lineage: Eukaryota; Metazoa; Chordata; Mammalia; Artiodactyla; Bovidae. The record is from RNAcentral.
GAGCCUGGGGAUGGAGAAUGUGCUGGAGGUCAAAGCAGGGCCUGCGGGAGCGGGAGGAGUCGGCCUGGGAACUGCUGCGUACCCUUUAGACUGACCCCAUGAGAGGCACGAUCCCCAUUGUACAGAUGAGGAAACUGAGGCUCAGCAGGUGCAAUUGGAAAAUAGCUGCUAUCUCCAAAGGAACGGCCUUGGUUUCGUCUUCCAAAUGCCACCGCAUUUGGGGCGGCGCGGGGCUUAAUAGAAGAUUAUUUUUUAC